This 1161-nucleotide long non-coding RNA is filed under the name Bemisia tabaci. Its description in RNAcentral is "lncRNA ENSSWEETPG004931". Lineage: Eukaryota; Metazoa; Arthropoda; Insecta; Hemiptera; Aleyrodidae. The record is from RNAcentral.
CUCUGCGUACAUUUUUGUCCAAGGUAGUACAUCCACGAAGAAUUUUAUCUAAAGCAAAACCGUUUGCCAUUCGCCACCCCGAUUAUUUAGUUUUAUUAUCUACUUAUUUAUUCGUGAAUAUCUUUAAUGGUGCUGAUAAUUACCUUUUAGAAAAAUUAAAUGCCCCGGUCUAAUUACUGUGCUAAGUGCUUCGCGAUAGUGUUUAUAGGUGUCAUUUGAUUUUUAGAGCAAUGUGAUCCUGCAUCCACCAUCUUACUUCACGUUGAAAUUCCUCCUGAAUUUCGAUUUCAAUCCUUAUCAUCUAAUGUCCGGGCAUUCUCUGCAAUGUUCUCAAGUUAAUAUUAAUCUAAUUCAAUUCCUAAACGAGGAGAUUCCAGUUAGAGGAUUCAAGCUGGCGGAACAAAACGAUGAGGCAGCUGCCACCCGCCCUCAGAUGCUAAAUAUUUGCCAUCGAGACGCUCAAACUAUAACAGACGUUUGCAGCGGUGGGGAUCUGCCUGAAGUCGAAAUCGUCAGCCUCUUGCAGGAAUCGAUUCCGCGCUACACCUUACGAGCGGACUCACUUGUUGAAUUUUCCGGUUACGAAAAUCAAGACUGGUUUAUUCAACAACUCCUGCUUUGAAACUAGAUAACGCUCAACUUUCGCCCGACCAAAUCCGGGAGACCUUACUAAACUUUUCGUGAGUAAUCUUCUCUCAAGUCUUAAUAUUUUUGCUCUGUGUUUAUUCAUUCUAUUUUGCUGCUGUCAUUUUCAUUCUAAAUCUUCGAAGUUUAUCAAAGAAGCCUAUUCAAGGAGGUAUUAUUUUCUGCACUUUUUGGCUGUAUAAGUUGGUCCUUAAUUUGCACUAUGUACUUCAAAAGAAAUAAGUUCCGAGCCACUCAUACCAAUAUUUUCCAUUUUUUUUCCCCUUGUCUCCAUCACAAGGUGAAAAAAAACAGAUUCACAUUCUCGCCGAAUCUUGGUUGAAGCAAUGAUCUCGGUUUUGGCAUAUAUUCUUAGUCUCCUGGGUUGUCAGAUAGUAUUUAUUUAGCAUUGUUUUUUUAGAAAAAGGAUGGAUGUUUCCAAUGUAAUGCCUCUAGAACCACUAAUGUGCUUCCCUUUUUCUGUUGAUGAUUUGUAUACCAUUUUUGUGCUCCCGGAUUUUUUGCAGAAUUAUUCGU